RNAcentral lists this ribosomal RNA (253 nucleotides) under uncultured bacterium. RNAcentral's name for it is "partial 16S ribosomal RNA". It matches the Rfam family "Bacterial small subunit ribosomal RNA", at positions 524 to 776 of the family's 1533-position model. The record is from RNAcentral.
UACAGAGGGGGCAAGCGUUGUUCGGAAUUACUGGGCGUAAAGGGCGCGUAGGCGGCCUUCUAAGUCAGACGUGAAAUCCCUCGGCUUAACCGGGGAACUGCAUCUGAUACUGGAUGGCUUGAGUUUGGGAGAGGGAUGCGGAAUUCCAGGUGUAGCGGUGAAAUGCGUAGAUAUCUGGAGGAACACCGGUGGCGAAGGCGGCAUCCUGGACCAACACUGACACUGAGGAGCGAAAGCCAGGGGAGCAAACGGG